CCACGCUGGCGGAUAAACUACACGUUCCUGAUCAAAAUGGCGUUGCUGUGUGUUGGAAGAAGAAAGGCAGCUCAACAGAUGAGGAUUUCCCAAGGAAAGAGCACUUCGAAAAAAGGGGCUUAUACGAGUCCGACGUAAUGACCCCAUAUCCAAGAAACUAUGGCAGACGAAAUGCACCUACCUUUGCUCCAAUCGUCUCAAACGAGAAUGUUUCUUCUAUGGAGAGAGGAUGAGGAAAUUAAAGCGAGGGGCAGAGCCGACACUGUUUCCGUUGAAUGAAAAAACAAACAUGGUUUCGGCAAAAAGGAGCGCAUUAACUUCCAUUGUGGCUGAUGCCCAACUACCCACAGCGACACCCACGCCUCAGCAACUAAACAAGAAUAUCCAGCAGGACUGGAUGGCAAGCAACCUCCAUUUACCAAAAGCCACUACUUGUGAACUUCACAGAACCGACUGGGUGUAGCCAGAAUUUCAGUCAUCUGUCACCCCUACAGAUACUUCAACUCUUCUUCUGUGAAGCAGUUUGGCAGUUGCUGGUGAAGGAGACCAACCGCUAUGCAGAUCAGACGCUAUCUGCAGAAUCCGCCAACACUCGGUGUACUUGGGUGGAAGUGACUAAGCAUCACAAAUGUGUCAGUACUUUACGCAUCAUCAUAGAUCCCCGAAAUGGUGGAAAUAAGUUUUCUUUGCAAUUCUUGACAUCUGUUUGGUUAAUUUUGCUAUCAUCGUUUACAGCAAUAGACUCGGGUAGUUUAGAUUGUGCCUGCCCCCUUCAACCACCCCCAAUUCCACCCCCCCCCAUUCCAAUGUUGCAAUGGAUCGCUCUGGCCACGCACCAGCCUUUAACACAAUGCAGGUUCCCGUCACACCCCCAUUCCUCCCUUCAACAACCCCCAAUACCCCCCCCCCCAUUCCAAUGUUGCAAUGGAUCGCUCUGGUUUCGCACCAGCCUUUAACGCAACAUUGGAUGGGGGGCGGGGGCAUCAAGUAGCUCCCAGAAAUCAUUUAGAGGUCUGGAAAGUCCAUUUUAGCAGCAGAGUAUAAGAUGUAUCAAUGUAAACUCAAUUUUUUAGACCAGUCUCAGAGGUUUUGUAUUCAGGGUGUGAAAUGAACUUUGUGUUCUAUUCAUACAACCCUAUGCUUAUUCAACAGCCUCAUGCUAUUUUCUUUUCUCAUUUGCAUAUGGAAUGUUUUUCUUUAUCUUAUAAGCUCUAAUCUCUCUGAAUUAAGUACAAGUAUGUAUUAGAAGUUAUUUAUGUCCACAUUGAUAAUUUCAAUGUACUAAGUUUCUUAAAUUUCUGAUAUAUCGUCGCUUAUCCAUUUUGUCAAUUUCUAUGUAUCAAGCGCCCUUAAUUAUCAUUGUAAAUUUUUGUUAAGAGUACGGAAUAAGCGUUUUCUUGAAUCUUGAUUUAUUGUGUAUGGAACUCAUUCCCGUGAUUUUUACUAGAAAAACUUAAGUGGUGUUCUGCUUAUUGGAUAUCAUUACUAUUAGUCAAUGGAGAGUCAUUGCAAGAGUGGUCUUUCAUGAUCUCGACUGGUGAGGGCGCUAUGCACUAAAAGUCGCUGAAUUUUGCCUGGUAAGCAAGGGAACUCGCAUGGGAAAAAAAGUGUAGUAUUAAAGGAACCCAUGAAUGACCAGAAAGGUCUUGGGGCUGAUAGGGAUAUUAUCUUGUUUAAAAAACGCAGAGAAAAAAGGGGUAUGAAAAGUUGGGAAAACGGUCCAUUUGUUCCCGAUGGACAAUAUUUAUUUCUGAUAAGAUAAAACAGAAUUACUGAUAAAUGUAAUUACUGAUAAAUGCUUGCACACUGUACACGCAGCGCAUAGGCCUAUAACCCCCCCCCCCGAAGCGCAGAGCUAGGAGAAAUUGGGAUUUUACUUUAACAAC
Molecule: long non-coding RNA, 1886 nt
Filed under: Acanthaster planci (crown-of-thorns starfish)
Lineage: Eukaryota; Metazoa; Echinodermata; Asteroidea; Valvatida; Acanthasteridae
Description: uncharacterized LOC110983232
Source: RNAcentral